RNAcentral lists this long non-coding RNA (2305 nucleotides) under Helianthus annuus (common sunflower). Lineage: Eukaryota; Viridiplantae; Streptophyta; Magnoliopsida; Asterales; Asteraceae. The record is from RNAcentral.
AUGCUUCCUUGUUGAAUGUCUUUCAGUUAUAGGUUCAUGUUAGAUCAAUAACUCUGUGUUUUUCAUUAGUUUAUGGUUUGCUAGACGUAGUAUCCAUAGAAGUUAUAAUCGUGAAUUGAGUAGGUAUAGGUAUUCAACUAAUCUAAAUAUUUGUGAGGUGAGAGAUUAUCGGCCUGUCUAGGUUGUUAGAUUGGUAUACUUUGUGAGAAGAUUGCCUUAGUUUACCUUAUCGAAUCGAAGCAGUGGCUUCUUCUUCUUCUUCUUCGUCACAUGACCUUGCUCAACGUCUUUAUGACAAGGAUUAAUAGAUUUACUCAGACGGUUUUCUGUUGACUUGUAGGUGAUUAUAAUGUUUGAGUUAGGGUUUUUAGGCUUUCUAUUGAUUUGUUGAUAACUUUGUUGUUUUGAAUUAGUACUGAUAGAUUUAUUAUGGUUUUUUUAUUAAUUUGUAGAUGCUCGGUGUGUUGAUUAUGUUGUUUUGAGUUAGGGUUUAUAGGUUUGGGAAAAUGUUUGAAAAGUAGAUUGUGAAAUUCGUGUUUUUUGAUAAGGAAUGUUUGGUGGAAUGUUUGUAGGUUGAAAUUCAAGUUAGGAAGAUUUACUUUGUAAAUAGGGCUGCAACUGUGCUUCCGAUAAACGUUGAGGAUGCUGCCAGAAGUGAAGUUGAAAUUGAGAAGGCUUUGUAGGUUUAAGGGUGUGAUGAUGACCUGGUAGUCAUCAGUUCGGUUCCUACUGCCUCCAUCAUCCGCUGAUUUCAUCUUCAUUCUGCUAUGUUCGUUUGUAUUCAUCUUGAUUCUGGUAUGUUCGGUUCCUAAUCGGACUCGAACGCCAAAUAAUCGCCUUUUUAACCCUAAUCGGACUCCAGUCGCCGUCCGCCGCUGGCCGCUGUUGUUGUUAUACAUUUGCGGUUGCCGCUUAUCAGCUCCAUCUUUAUAGUUUCUGAACCCAAAAUAUGGAUGCAUUGUUCCUCUGCUUCUGAUGAAUGAUGAUUGUACACACGAUCAGACUUUGAAGCCAGACUAAACCCACAUGGCUCAGUCCUUUAUGGAACCAUCAAACCAAUAAAGACAAUCAUGUUGAGUAACUCGACUUAUCUAAUCAACACUAAGAAAUGUUACACCGUUAACGGCGUUUCGUACAUUAACGCAGGCACUCCUAAGUUUUUAUGAAGGUGAUAUUAUGUAUUGCAGUUGAACAAGCAUUAUGAAUGGGUUAUUGGAACUGGAGAAGGCAAAUUUGAUGUAUUAGAUCAUGAAAAUGUCGGAUUCAAGUCAAAGGUCUAGAUGAAGUUUUUCAGUGGUGAUGAUCAAAAGAAAUUGUCGAUGUGACUUCGUUUAUUAGGCGUCCGGCUUUGUAUAAAUAUAAGUGUAGUUACUGCUGCAGAUGCGACGGGGAUUAUGAGGAGGAAUCAGGAAUCAGAGCAUCUAAACAGAGGUAUUAAUAGCUGAAACAUCUGCUUGAAUCAAUCUUAACCCACUCGAACCCUAAAGUAAAUCGUCGUCCAGUCAUCCUGUAAGCUGCUGGUUAUCUGUUUUCAAUCCUUCUCACUUGCCAAUUAAGGUAACUAAGUUGUCCGCAUCUGAUAGUUUUUUUUUUCCGGAUAAAUCAUUGGAAUGGUUACUGAUCUAAAUAUACAAUUGCGACAUAGAUAGAUAACAUUAUCUACUUCGGGAUAAUAUAUAGACUUCUCAAUUCGUUGUAUUAUCAAAUAUAAAAGUAAAUGAUUAUAUAUAGUAAAAUGUUCCGUCAAUAUGUUUUAAAUAAUGAUUUUUAUUGACAAGUAAUACAAGAGAUACUAAGGGCAGGAAGUAUAUUAUGAGUUACAUAUAGAAAGGCAUUAGAAGAUGUAGAAUUGGAAGGCUUUGUGAUGCGUUCAUGUACAUGGCCAUUUGAUGAUCAUGGGCAAGUCAAAUGUUAAAGUUAUGAUAGUCAGUUUAUUAUAAUCAAGAGAAUAUUGUAGAAGUUGACUUUUUUCUUAAGCAAAACAGAAAGUCAAAGGUAAGUGGAGUAAGAAGUAAGAACUAUUGGGUUGAGGGUGAACUCUACAAAAUCAAUGAUCGGCCACCUCAUGGAAGUCGCUGAUGCUGUGGAAGCUAUCGCAACAAUACAAGUUAUUCAUGCAUGGUUAAGCCUUUUGCCAAUCAAACAAGAUCUUAUUGCGGUUAAAGGUGCUGACGAGCUACUUUGUUCACUGGCCGAAAGGUAAGUGUGAGCAAAGCUUUCUUCUGGUUCUCCUUUAAACUUUUUUUUUGUGGUGCUUCUACAAACUUUGUUGUCUAUAUCACAAGUCAGACAUGGAACUUCUGGG